This 1649-nucleotide unclassified non-coding RNA is filed under the name Caenorhabditis elegans. Its description in RNAcentral is "Non-coding transcript of protein-coding gene Y71A12B.10b". Lineage: Eukaryota; Metazoa; Nematoda; Chromadorea; Rhabditida; Rhabditidae. The record is from RNAcentral.
AUGGAUCUACUAGUGGAAUUAUUCGACGGAGUUCUAGGAAGUUCAUACUACUUACGCGAUGGCUGGCUCCCUAUUGCUGGAGAAUUCAUUUGCGAGUUUGUAGAAUCUGGUAGGUUGGUUAGGAAUGCGAUGAGAGGGAUCAAUAAUCUAGCUAAUGUCUGUCAAGAGUUGCACGGGCUUCGGAGACACUACACCUUCGAGACUCCUCCGAAUGGAUAUACUGAAGAAGAUAUGCAGAUGGGAUUCAUAGCGACAGAUUGGAUGAUCUCUACAAUACAUGAUAUUUGCACAAAUCAUAUCGAAGGAUUUACGGAGCUUCUUGGAUGGAUGUCUCGAGAAAAUCGCCUACUUGUCGAAUUCGCUUUCAAAUCUCUCAACCUUGUCUACCGUGCCAUUACUGAAAAUCCAGGAGGGGGUGCAAAUAUGGCUGAUGAAGAUAAUGAUGAUGGUGAAGAUGAUGAUGAUAACGAAGAAGAAGAUGCUGAUCAAGGGUGUCAAGUCCCGUGUCCCGUUUGCCCCGUUGUCCCGUUUUUUGAGUGUUUUUACGGGAACGGGACGUCCCGCUGUCCCGUUUUUGUAAUUUUUACGGGACAUUGACACCCUUGAUGCUGAUGAAGGAGGUGACGACGACGAAGAAGAAGGGAACCAAGAUGUAGCCAUGGACUUUCAUGAGCAAAACCUUCUUGAUCAGCGGGGAAGAGAGGACAAUACAGAUUCAGAACACGAGGUACAAAACGAUUCGGAUUAUAGCUCGAAUAGCACUAAAAGUCAUUCCCGUAAUCCAUCGGUUUCCUCAGUUCUUGCUACUAAUAAUCAAAAAUCGGAUGAUAAUGAAUCAACGAAGCUUUUCGCCACGAAACUCUCCGAACUCGAAGCAUACCGAACAAUGUGCAAGGAUCAGAUGACAUCAAUCGAAAGACUUCUGGAACAAGGUGGAGCCAGUUGUAUUGUACCACAAGCCACGAUUCUAUCAGUAAAAGCAACACAUUUAGCAACAAUGACAACUUCUACGAUUAUUGCAAGACCUGAUAUUGAUGUGAUAAUGAAUUCAAACGAAGCCACCACGAGCACAGUUCUGAAGGCUCGUCACGUCGACUUUGUGCACAAGACGUCGAUUCACCACACCAACGACUUGACGCUCAUCGACUUGGUGCUCAAUGUGCAGUGGCGUUUGGCUCUCCCAUCCGACGCGAACUUCGUCUUGAAGUACAAAAAUAAACAAGGCGAUUUGGUGACACUCGUCGUGGAUAGCGACCUCCUGAUGGUUCUUCACACGUCUGGAGCCACGUUCGACGUGACCGUCGUUGUCGACUCAAGAAAUCGUGAAAUCGACGUUGGAAAGAUCAUCGACGCUCUCCGAAAGAGCUUUGAAGCGGCUCCACAAUCGACAGUACCUUCCGAGAAAACUCCACCAUCGCAUACUCCAUCGCCACAAUCGUUGCGAGGACCCCCCGCCGCCAGUAUCAAGUUCUCCACGAAACUCUCUCCUGCUGGCUUUUCAUGCACCCGGAUUUCAAGCUCAAGCUCAACAAAAACGCCGAAAAAUAGGAUGCUCGACACUCUCCGCUGCCUCCAGCACUCGUGUAUGCCAGUUCGCCGAACACUGAAAAUGAGGCCUCACCAACAUCGCCACUUGCUGUAUUUUAAAG